UGUUACCUGUGCUGAUGAG
Molecule: unclassified non-coding RNA, 19 nt
Filed under: Mus musculus (house mouse)
Lineage: Eukaryota; Metazoa; Chordata; Mammalia; Rodentia; Muridae
Description: oocyte_clustered_small_RNA340
Source: RNAcentral